This 506-nucleotide ribosomal RNA is filed under the name uncultured bacterium. RNAcentral describes it as "partial 16S ribosomal RNA". It matches the Rfam family "Bacterial small subunit ribosomal RNA", at positions 29 to 523 of the family's 1533-position model. The record is from RNAcentral.
AGUGAACGCUGGCGGUAGGCCUAACACAUGCAAGUCGAACGGCAGCACAGGAGAGCUUGCUCUCUGGGUGGCGAGUGGCGGACGGGUGAGGAAUACAUCGGAAUCUACUUUUUCGUGGGGGAUAACGUAGGGAAACUUACGCUAAUACCGCAUACGACCUACGGGGGAAAGCAGGAGAUCUUCGGACCUUGCGCGAUUGAAUGAGCCGAUGUCGGAUUAGCUAGUUGGCGGGGUAAAGGCCCACCAAGGCGACGAUCCGUAGCUGGUCUGAGAGGAUGAUCAGCCACACUGGAACUGAGACACGGUCCAGACUCCUACGGGAGGCAGCAGUGGGGAAUAUUGGACAAUGGGCGCAAGCCUGAUCCAGCCAUACCGCGUGGGUGAAGAAGGCCUUCGGGUUGUAAAGCCCUUUUGUUGGGAAAGAAAUCCAGCUGGUUAAUACCCGGUUGGGAUGACGGUACCCAAAGAAUAAGCACCGGCUAACUUCGUGCCAGCAGCCGCAGUAA